Molecule: small RNA, 125 nt
Filed under: Marmota monax (woodchuck)
Lineage: Eukaryota; Metazoa; Chordata; Mammalia; Rodentia; Sciuridae
Source: RNAcentral
GCCGGGCGCCGUGACGCACUCCUGUAAUCCCAGCAGCUUGGGAGGCUGAGGCAGGAGGAUAGCAAGUUCAAAGCCAGCCUCAGCAAAGGUAAGGCGCUAAGCAACUCAGUGAGACCCUGUCUCUA